Molecule: long non-coding RNA, 330 nt
Filed under: Elaeis guineensis (African oil palm)
Lineage: Eukaryota; Viridiplantae; Streptophyta; Magnoliopsida; Arecales; Arecaceae
Description: long non-coding RNA (EGUI_LNC066236)
Source: RNAcentral
AUUAAACAAUAGAUCAGAUCUAUUACCUUGCAAGUUAGAUGUUCUAACCUUGCUGAUCUGGGCUUGAAGAUGAUGUUGCAAGCCGCAUAUGCAUCCGGCCUCUAGGAGUCAUCCACACGAGCCCACGAAUCUCGAUCAGAAGUCCUGCUUCAGGAAAUCAGCACAGUAUGCUAGUACUGCGCUGAUCUUUCUUUGAUGGUUGAUCAGGUGCCUCCUUCUUCUUGAUUUGGACUCUUUCAAAAAUAGAAAGUAGGAGGAGGAGUUUCAGAUCUGAGAUGCUCUCAGAAAACUCAAGAUGGAGGGAGGAAAGAUAUGAAAACAGACAACCCU